Molecule: long non-coding RNA, 518 nt
Filed under: Erythranthe guttata (spotted monkey flower)
Lineage: Eukaryota; Viridiplantae; Streptophyta; Magnoliopsida; Lamiales; Phrymaceae
Description: long non-coding RNA (EGUT_LNC001033)
Source: RNAcentral
AGCUGCUGCGGCCCAGGAAAAAAUCCCACCGCCCAUUUGCCGUAAAAUCCGUUUGACAUACGACCCAUUUGAUUCAUCCAGUGCUAAUGAUCCGGGAACCCAUGUUCUUAAUGUGGAUCCCGUUUAUGAACCCAUCCCUCGUAAUCGCCCCCUUCGAAGAAUUUUGGAAUUUUUUUAAGUUAGUGUUCGGGAUUUUCUUUUGUGCAGGAUGGAUUGGGUUUUUAGGUUUUUUAAUUUUGGAUUUGCAAGUUGUUCGAACAACCUUAGCUGGAAUAUUGUUGGAGUGUAAUGGAGAAUUCGAGUUUAUAAUUUCAAGAUUGGGUAGAUUUAUUUGUGGGUAUUAGCUAAAAAAGUUUUGAAUUCAAAAGAAGGGGCUUGAAUUUGAAUGCUGAUGAACGUAACUCUGCAAUUACGCGAUGCCAUUGUGGCGGCAAGUCGGAGAAACGGAGACGAGUUUCCGGUGCCACUUGGAAGAAACACCAAGUGAGGAAGAAAGUUGUCUGAACAUUUCAAUAAAU